Molecule: ribosomal RNA, 1139 nt
Filed under: Cantharellus lateritius
Lineage: Eukaryota; Fungi; Basidiomycota; Agaricomycetes; Cantharellales; Hydnaceae
Description: partial large subunit ribosomal RNA
Rfam family: Eukaryotic large subunit ribosomal RNA
Source: RNAcentral
AUCUGGACUGCAUGGCGUCCAAGUACAAUAGGCCGUCAGUGGGACAUCAUAGAGGGUGACAAUCCCGUCCUUGAUGCCAAUGUGCAAGUCCGUUACGAUGGCUAUCUCAGAGAGUCGAGCAGUUUGGGAUUUGCUGCUUAAACAUGGGAGGUAGAUUCCUUCUAAAGCUAAAUACAGGCAAGAGACCGAUAGAGAACAAGUACCGCAAGGGAAAGAUGAAAUAGAACUCUGUGAAGGGAGUCAAAAGGCGUGAAAUUGUUGCGAGAGAAGCGAUUCAAGUCAGCGUAGCUAGGCCCAUCAAGCCUCUUUGUGCUUUGGACUAGCUUUGCCAGCGGUCUUGUCCCUUAGAGACUUGACUUUUUUAUGAUGUCCAGCCUGGUAUGCACAGGUAGCCCCUCCUCUUGGGGGGGGUGGGGCCAGUGACAUGGCUGGUGGAAUGGCUUGCAAUCGACCCGUCUUGAAACACGGACCAAGGAGUCUAACAUGUAUGCGAGUAUAAGGGUGGCAAACCCGUAUGCGCAAUGAAAGUAACUUUCGAUGAUUGAGAAUGGCCUGAUGACCAGACAAGCAAUAUUCAUGUCCCUCGUACGGCCAUUGCCCAAGUUCCGUGGUUAGAUCCCAUGAACAUGGAGUUGGAGCAUACAUGCUAGGACCCGAAAGAUGGUGAACUAUGCCUGGACAAAGCGAAGCCAAAGGAAACUCUGGUGGAGGCUUGUAGCGAUUCUGACGUGCAAAUCGAUCGUCUGAUCUGGGUAUAGGGGCGAAAGACUAAUCGAACCAUCUCAUAGCUGGUUCCUGCCGAAGUUUCCCUCAGGAUAGCAGAGACCUAGUGGAAGUUGCAUGUGGUAAAGCGAAUGAUUAUUGAUCCUGGGGCUCAAAUGGGCCUCAGUCUAUUCUCAAACUGUGAAUGCGUGCGGUUGGACUGUGCUUAGCAAUAGAAGCCCUGCCAGCAAUGCUUCAGUCUCUAGUGGGCCGUUUCUGGUAAGCAGAACUGGCGAUGCGGGAUGAACCGAAAGCGAGGUUAAAGUGCCAGAAUGCACACUAAUCAGAGAUAAAAGGUGUAUGUGCAUGGACACAGCAGGGCAGUGGCCAUGGAGGUUGGCAUCUGCUAAGGAGUGUGUAACAACUCACCUGCAAUG